ACACCUCAGCCUUUGUUCAGGGAGACAAGGGCUGCAGCCCACUCAGAUGGAAUUUAUUUUGUGCUCAGUAAUUCAAUCCAUUUGGGCUCAGGAUGUGGCCAGGAGAGUUGAGCCAAAAAAUGCAAGUUUAAAGCAACUAAAUUUUAUGCUGUGUAUACAGUUAAGUUUGGGUUUGGCUGAGACAAGCAGUUUCCAUGGUUUUUGCAAUUUCUGUUGUAGCAACGAGCUCCUUAUGCAAUGGAAGGGCUGGGAAGCCUGUGGUCCUCCGGCAAGCCGUGGCCGGAGAGGGGCACGGGGGGAGCCAGGGCAGCUCAGACAGGGGACAGGGCUCAUCACAAGGUGAUUAGUAUUGGCCCGACUGUGUGACCCUCCGUGGGGACAGCAUGCUUGGCAUGGGUGAGUGCAUCCCUGUGGUCUGGCCUGGAAAGGGUUGGAUGGUUUCCUCUAAGUCCAUUCCCCCAGCCUCCGAACGCCUCCAGUGCCAUGCGGAGCUGCUCCCAGUGCAGGGAUGCGGCUGCUGAGCCGCACUUUUCCUCGCCAAGGUGCCCCUCUCCCUGCCGUUAACAUUUUUGAAUGUCACUUUAAAGCGAGGGCUGGAAAAGCUCAGCAAUGCCAAGCCAUAACCCAACAGCUGGGCUGCAGAUGUGCAGAGAAGCCCACACCAGCCUGCAGCAUCAAUGCGCAUCCCCGUCCCCUCCGGCCUCGUCUGCCUUCUGUGCAUGGAGGCCACAUGUUUGAACAAGGCUCAUCCUUAAUUUUGCACAGCACCUUGCACCUCUGCAUCCCUCCGUGAGGUUGCAGAGCCUCUUUGCAGUCCUGUCCGUGGUAAAAAGCAUGAGAUCAAAACCAGACAAAACCCCAGUGCUCUCAGAAAUAACAUACAUUGUUUUUCCCCUUGACCGGGGAUUUAUUAUUUCAGCUUGCCAGCUUACUCGGACCAGCCGUGCUCAUCCUCCAGCUGUGCAUUUGGCAGCAAGAGCUUUGUGUGCUGCCUGGUGGGUGAGAGAUGGCCCCUUCCCCACAGCAGGGAGGGUGGCUCAGCACCCCACCGCCUGGAAGAGCAUCAGGGCUUGGGCAAAGGAGACCUCCGUAGGGAUGUUUUCUUGUUAAAUGGCAUCAAGGGGCCCUUUUUGUUUGGGGAUCAUUCCCCUGAAACCGCUGUUCUUUCAAGAAGCUAAUCGAAGUGGCCCAACUGAGUCCAAGGCACAGCCAGUGCCUCAGCCAUGAUUUAUCCCCAAUCCAAUAGUGGGCUGGAUGGGAUUCCCUUCCAGUUAUGCCCCAUGCCUUGUUUGUUACCAUAACCAGGGCCAGUUUACAAAAAAAAUUAUCAGUUCAUCAGGCUAGCCACUUCUGUAACAUGCCUGCCAGCAACCCACAGGCUUGGAAGCAGCUCUCCAAAUGCUCAUUCUUCUUAGGCUUUGCGCUUUUGCCUGCAGAAACGGUGCAUUGCCCUCCUGAAGUUAAUCCUCCCAGCCCAUCCUGUCCCACUGCCAAAGGCUCGUGAGAGCCGUUCGGCAAUGGAUACUUCAUCUUACAUGGCCAGCUCAAGGGCUUCCUGAUGGGGCUUCUGUGAAUUUAGCAACCCAGUGGAUUUCGAUCCCAUGAAUUUCUCCAGUAUCCUCUUGAACCCACGUAACCAUUGACAUCCUCAGCGUCCUGUGGUGGGGAGCUCAGCAAGUUAAAUACGUGCUGUUUGGGGACCCACCUUCUUUUGGGUGCUGUGAACAGCGUUCCCGCUGGCAUCAUUUGAUGCCUGCCUGAUCCUGCAUCGGCAGAGACCUGGCACAGCCCCUCCUUCCCAAAGCCACUGAGAUGUCACAGCUUGCUGUUGCCUCAUCUUGCAGUCUCAAGGCACCUUGGGCAAAUAGAGGGCUCCUUUGGAAAUGUCCAUCCUUGCCCUGCUCUCCUCACCUUCCCCACACUGUGCAGCCUGCCCUCCCUGUCCCUGAGCUUCUCUUCCCAGUAUAACCCCAGCUUCGGGGUCCCAUCUGCUCCCACCCUGCUCCAUGUCCAUCCCGACACCUGGCACUUGCUGGUGGGGUAGCUCCUCCGGGAAACAUAAGAUCUGCAGCUUUGCUUGGCCUCAGAAGACUCGCACUGUGUGUCGAAAGCGCCUGGCAUCACUUUGGAGGCUGCUGUCGGCCACAUGUCAUGAAACGACAUUAGGAUGCUGGUGCGUUGUUUCAGCCUCUGGCAAAACCUAUCCUGCCUCAUCCCCUCCCUGCUUUUCCACCUUGGAGGGCUGCACCUCGUUACCGGCUCGCCGAGCCCCUUUGUUGCUCCCUGACCACUGCUGGUCCCCACACUUUGACCCCAAGAGCGUUUUGCAUCCCCCUUUCUGCCCGCACAUUGGAGGUGGAGGGGAUUGUGCCCUGGGACUCAUCUGUGUGCCUCCUCCUCUUCCUCCCCCAUUGCUUCCAGCAGAGGUUUGAGAUGACCGUCAUCUUCAGAGAUGUUUGGCUGUCCUGGUCCUGCAAGAAGUCGGUGUGUGCCUGGAAGACCUGCAUCCUUCCAGCAUCGCCUCGAGGGUGCUUGCGUCUUACCAGUGAGAUCACUGCUUUUUUGCAUUCCCUGCAAACCUAAUCUCUGGAUUAAUACUUUUUUGCCAUUAAACUUCUGAUCUGCACUGAGAAAACGCGAUGAAGUCAUUGCAACUCCUAAAAACUGGAAAAAGUCCCUCUUGUUCAAAGCCCUCCUGGGGUAAGUCUCCGACAAGGAGGAGGUCCAAAACACGAGUGUUUGCGGACAAAAUAUGACUCUUGCAAUCUGCCCACACCGGAUCAGGCUAUUAACAAGUUCAUGACAAGCAACGCGCUGGAACGUAAUUAGAGAAGAACUCCGUAGCCAGCCAGAACCUCCCAACAUUUUAAAUGUCAGCUCAGAAACACAUGAAUUGCUUGGAAGGGUCUUCUGGAGCCAAGGUAAACUUUGGGGAAUUGGGGUAAUCUGCCAACACGCCUUCGGAGCAGCGAGGUCCUGGUACCGGACGGUCGGCUCGCUGCAGUUUCAUCAAGACCGAGGUGUUUUGCAGGAACAUGGCUGACCCUCCUGCAAAGAUAUGUUUUGACUUUUCCUUUAGAGACAAACUUUCCUCUCCAUGACAAGAUGAGUUAUCUUUUUUAAUCAGAGCUGGAAUAAAAGAUCCAGAUCCAUCCCAAUGUCCAGUUCCUCCUUGGAAAUUUGUUUCCUGGGAAAUUUCAAAAUGUUUUUGAAACAAGUUUGCAAACAUGGAGCACACUCCUAGUAAUCCUGGCAGGCAGCAGCUCCGAACGCCCUACAGCAGAUCAUCCAAGGGAUGGAGAAAACCCCUCCACGUGCAACGGUUCAUCCAUGCAAAUGAAGCUGAAUUAAACAGGCUUCUACUAGAGGCCGACCCAAGCAAACGCUCUCUUGCAAGUAAUGCUUUUCCCUGUGUCUUUUCCUCUCCCAGAGUUUUCUUCCAGACAAGAAGCUGGUGCUGGUUCCUCAGCUCUGCAAAUAACCCUGGGGAAGGGAAGGGUUGGGAAGCCCUUGGUUGUUUGGGGUCCUGACCCUGGAUUUUGGUGGGGCAGGUGGCUGAAGGAGCUGGGUGGAUGUGGGUGACCGAAGUGCAGAUUCGAAGACCCUGCCGGGAUUUACACAAGCACACGGUCGAGCCGAUGCUUCGAGAGCCAGCCCCAAAGCUGCUGCCUGCAGACGCCCAUUUCUGUUCUUGCUUUCCCAGCCUGGGAUGGGAGUCUGGGAUUUAGUGCCUGGAGUCAGAAAUAAAGUCCAAGCAAGUGCCAUUUCCAGCUGGCAUGACUGAUCCA
This is a long non-coding RNA of Harpia harpyja (harpy eagle), 3788 nucleotides long. RefSeq lists it as uncharacterized. The record is from RefSeq and is a predicted model, not a curated record. NCBI's taxonomy places the organism in Eukaryota, Metazoa, Chordata, Aves, Accipitriformes, Accipitridae. The transcript has 2 exons.